RNAcentral lists this ribosomal RNA (774 nucleotides) under uncultured Neocallimastigales. RNAcentral's name for it is "partial large subunit ribosomal RNA". It matches the Rfam family "Eukaryotic large subunit ribosomal RNA", at positions 23 to 634 of the family's 3401-position model. The record is from RNAcentral. Lineage: Eukaryota; Fungi; Neocallimastigomycota; Neocallimastigomycetes; Neocallimastigales.
AGAGAGAGACAUGCGCGCAUAUCAAUAAGCGGAGGAAAAGAAACUAACAAGGAUUCCCUUAGUAACGGCGAGUGAAGCGGGAAGAGCUCAAAUUUGAAAUCUUCAAGGUUUUACCUUGACGAAUUGUAGUUUAAAGAAGUGUUUUCUGCUGAAGUUUUGGUAAAAGUUCUUUGGAAUAGGACAUCAUAGAGGGUGAGAAUCCCGUAUUUGACCAUUAUUUUCAGCUUUGUGAUAACACUUUCAAAGAGUCGGAUUGUUUGGGAAUGCAGUCUAAAAUGGGUGGUAAAUUUCAUCUAAAGCUAAAUAUUGGCGAGAGACCGAUAGCGAACAAGUACCGUGAGGGAAAGAUGAAAAGAACUUUGAAAAGAGAGUUAAACAGUACGUGAAAUUGUCAAAAGGGAAGCGUUUGACACCAGUGUUGUUUUCUCGAAAAUCAAUUAAAAAUGGCUCGAUUUUGUAUUGCUGAGACCUUAAAAGCUCACUGUACAUUUUUCGUGUCUUUUUUAAUGCACUUUUCGUUUAACAAGUCAACAUCAGUUUCUUUUGUUGUAAAAGGGUCAUUGGAAGGUGGCUUUCUUUUCGGAGAAAGUGUUUAUAGCUUUGGCCUCUGCAAUCGAAGAGACUGAGGUCUGCAGCGUAGACUCUUCGGGGUUAGAUACAUUUGUGCUAAGUUAUAGCUUUUUAUAGACAACUUGUUGACUAUAAUUAGUCUUGUAGCUUACUCGCUUAUGCUAUUUUACCUACGCUUAGGAUGUUGAAGAUGUAGCACAUCAU